Molecule: long non-coding RNA, 226 nt
Filed under: Medicago truncatula (barrel medic)
Lineage: Eukaryota; Viridiplantae; Streptophyta; Magnoliopsida; Fabales; Fabaceae
Description: long non-coding RNA (MTRU_LNC006265)
Source: RNAcentral
CAUAUUAUGCUUCCUCUAGCUGGUCUUCCCCAUGUCACUCUCACCAAUGCAAUCUCCUUGCCCCUUAAGUUCUUCACCUCUUGUUAUUUGUGAAACCCUCAACAAAGUCCUUAGAAAUAUUGUUCCACUUCCACUCUAGAAUACUCAAAGGUUGUAUUAACCCCGACGAAUCUUGAUGCUCCACCCUUGCCCUUUGCAAGACUAAACAAGUACACACAAAUUCAGC